RNAcentral lists this long non-coding RNA (357 nucleotides) under Trifolium pratense (red clover). Its description in RNAcentral is "long non-coding RNA (TPRA_LNC004989)". The record is from RNAcentral. Lineage: Eukaryota; Viridiplantae; Streptophyta; Magnoliopsida; Fabales; Fabaceae.
CAAAGAAGUUCUACUUGAAGAUAACCAAUUGCAGCUCUAUUUUUUAAUCUUAACACCUCAUUAUUCAAGCAUUGACAUUGGAUAAAACUUUUCUACUCAACCGUCAACCAAGUGUUUUAUAUUUCCAAUGACGAGCAUGUGGUGAAAUUUCAAACAAUUAAAGAUGCUCUCAUCUCAAGUGACGAAAUCCAUUAUAUAAGGUACACAAAAUUCUAGAUCUUAUAACANNNAAGGUACACAAAAUUCUAGAUCUUAUAACAUUUGCAUUAUAUUAAGCUUGAAUACAUUUAUGCAAUGUUAUUAUGUGAUUGAUUUGAUGAUCUUGAAAUCUAGAAUUCAGUGUGAAAUUUUCUCUAU